GAUGAACGCUGGCGGCGUGCCUAAUACAUGCAAGUCGAGCGAACGGACGAGAAGCUUGCUUCUCUGAUGUUAGCGGCGGACGGGUGAGUAACACGUGGAUAACCUACCUAUAAGACUGGGAUAACUUCGGGAAACCGUAGCUAAUACCGGAUAAUAUUUUGAACCGCAUGGUUCAAAAGUGAAAGACGGUCUUGCUGUCACUUAUAGAUGGAUCCGCGCUGCAUUAGCUAGUUGGUAAGGUAACGGCUUACCAAGGCAACGAUGCAUAGCCGACCUGAGAGGGUGAUCGGCCACACUGGAACUGAGACACGGUCCAGACUCCUACGGGAGGCAGCAGUAGGGAAUCUUCCGCAAUGGGCGAAAGCCUGACGGAGCAACGCCGCGUGAGUGAUGAAGGUCUUCGGAUCGUAAAACUCUGUUAUUAGGGAAGAACAUAUGUGUAAGUAACUGUGCACAUCUUGACGGUACCUAAUCAGAAAGCCACGGCUAACUACGUGCCAGCAGCCGCGGUAAUACGUAGGUGGCAAGCGUUAUCCGGAAUUAUUGGGCGUAAAGCGCGCGUAGGCGGUUUUUUAAGUCCGAUGUGAAAGCCCACGGCUCAACCGUGGAGGGUCAUUGGAAACUGGAAAACUUGAGUGCAGAAGAGGAAAGUGGAAUUCCAUGCGUAGCGGUGAAAUGCGCAGAGAUAUGGAGGAACACCAGUGGCGAAGGCGACUUUCUGGUCUGUAACUGACGCUGAUGUGCGAAAGCGUGGGGAUCAAACAGGAUUAGAUACCCUGGUAGUCCACGCCGUAAACGAUGAGUGCUAAGUGUUAGGGGGUUUCCGCCCCUUAGUGCUGCAGCUAACGCAUUAAGCACUCCGCCUGGGGAGUACGACCGCAAGGUUGAAACUCAAAGGAAUUGACGGGGACCCGCACAAGCGGUGGAGCAUGUGGUUUAAUUCGAAGCAACGCGAAGAACCUUACCAAAUCUUGACAUCCUUUGACAACUCUAGAGAUAGAGCUUUCCCCUUCGGGGGACAAAGUGACAGGUGGUGCAUGGUUGUCGUCAGCUCGUGUCGUGAGAUGUUGGGUUAAGUCCCGCAACGAGCGCAACCCUUAAGCUUAGUUGCCAUCAUUAAGUUGGGCACUCUAAGUUGACUGCCGGUGACAAACCGGAGGAAGGUGGGGAUGACGUCAAAUCAUCAUGCCCCUUAUGAUUUGGGCUACACACGUGCUACAAUGGACAAUACAAAGGGCAGCGAAACCGUGAGGUCAAGCAAAUCCCAUAAAGUUGUUCUCAGUUCGGAUUGUAGUCUGCAACUCGACUACAUGAAGCUGGAAUCGCUAGUAAUCGUAGAUCAGCAUGCUACGGUGAAUACGUUCCCGGGUCU
Molecule: ribosomal RNA, 1372 nt
Filed under: uncultured bacterium
Lineage: Bacteria
Description: bacterial SSU rRNA
Rfam family: Bacterial small subunit ribosomal RNA
Source: RNAcentral